This is an RNA transcript of Ruditapes philippinarum (Manila clam), 854 nucleotides long. RefSeq lists it as uncharacterized. The record is from RefSeq and is a predicted model, not a curated record. The transcript has 3 exons. NCBI's taxonomy places the organism in Eukaryota, Metazoa, Mollusca, Bivalvia, Venerida, Veneridae.
AAGUAAAGUCGUCCCUAUAUCCAUUAAUAAAUCAGUAGUAUUGUACAUAGUGUGUACGUGUCAAGUUUGCACAGUAAUGUGGCGUAGGAAUAUUACUGUUAACAUCGUUAAUAUUUGAUUUUCAGCUAACAAGUGUUUGUUUUCUUUUUACCUGUUAUUCAUUGAUUUUUAACUCCGGUUUGUCAAGGAUUUUGUUUACGGUCAUUCAAGAUGAAUCUCAGGGGCGGGAAGGCGAGCACCGUUGCCAUGAUCGCAGGUGUCGCUGCUGCUGAAGUUGCCAGUAUUGUCUACUUUAUGUUUACCCCCUGGUUUCUGGGGCCCGGGGCACGGUCUCUGUACACGUCAAUAGGGUGCAAUAUCCUACUGUUUGGGCUGAUAUUCAAACUUAUCGAAAAAUACUGGUAUUUACGAGCUUGGCAGGAUGCCGUGAAGAUGGGCAUUUGGUUGACUCUUAUAUACAUAGCAAUAAAUGCACCGUAUGUCAUAACCUGGUGGAAUCCAGCCUCCUACCUCUACCUUUUAGGUCCCGCGGCCCACACCGCCGUACAGAUCUCAGCCAUGACACUAUCCAUUUGGUACUUCAAAAAUAAGAAGUGAAAUAGUUACAUAUCAUAUUAAGCAAUUUUGUUUGUAUGUGAAAUCCACGACUUCAUGUUGUUGUUGUUGUUGUUCAUACUGAUCAUUUGAUAGUCAUAACAAUGUUCCAUCGUAUUUGCUGUACCUUUUAGAUAAAUAAUACUCCAAUAGUUUAACAAUAUUUUAGGAAAUAUUUACUUUAAUUAUUCUUUCUAAAAUAUAUAUUGUAUUUUAUUGUAAAAUGAAAUAGAAAUAUUAUUUAUACAGGAACUAUGUUC